CUUGCCUACGGGGCGCAGCAGUGAGGAAUAUUGGUCAAUGGCCGAGAGGCUGAACCAGCCAAGUCGCGUGAGGGAAGACGGCCCUACGGGUUGUAAACCUCUUUUGCCGGGGAGCAAGGGCGGGGACGUGUCCCGGCCCGGAGAGUACCCGGAGAAAAAGCAUCGGCUAACUCCGUGCCAGCAGCCGCGGUAAUACGGAGGAUGCGAGCGUUAUCCGGAUUUAUUGGGUUUAAAGGGUGCGUAGGCGGGCUUUUAAGUCAGCGGUAAAAAUUCGGGGCUCAACCCCGUCCGGCCGUUGAAACUGG
RNAcentral lists this ribosomal RNA (305 nucleotides) under uncultured bacterium. RNAcentral describes it as "bacterial SSU rRNA". It matches the Rfam family "Bacterial small subunit ribosomal RNA", at positions 334 to 636 of the family's 1533-position model. The record is from RNAcentral.